Long non-coding RNA from Homo sapiens (human), 1259 nucleotides. Ensembl annotates it as family with sequence similarity 86, member A pseudogene. Its record names the gene FAM86B3P. The record is from Ensembl. Lineage: Eukaryota; Metazoa; Chordata; Mammalia; Primates; Hominidae.
GAGAGCCGCUUCCUAGUGGCGCGCACACUGCGCUCCUUCCCCUGGCAGGUGGGCGGCGGGGCGAGCGGAGAGGCCCGCGGGGCUCGCGGAGUCCAGGGGCAGACGGGAUGGGUCUCCGUGCUGAAACCCCCGGCGCUCCUGCCACAGCUUAGAGGCAAAGUUAAGAGACUCAUCAGAUUCUGAGCUGCUGCAGGAUAUUUUGCAGAAGCCCUCGGGAGGCUCGGUCACACUCUCCGAAAGCAUGGCCAUCAUCUCCCACAGCACCACGGGUCUGGUCACAUGGGAUGCCGCCCUCUACAUUGCAGAAUGGGCCAUCGAGAACCCGGCAGCCUUCACUCACAGAUGUGCUGUAUUGCCCAGAAGCCAUUGUGUCACUGGUCAGGGUCCUGCGGAGGCUGGCUGCCUGCCGGGAGCACCAGCGGGCUUCUGAGGUCUACGUGGCCUUCGCUGUCCGCAAUUGAGAGACGUGCCAGCUGUUCACCACCGAGCUAGGUUUUUGCUUGUCUGAUGACUGAUGGCUCCACCCAGACCUGCCAACCACUCCCGCGGCCCCAUCCAGAAGUGGCUCAGCGUGCAUGAGGACCAUCUCCAACAUCCCUGUGAUUGUACCCCCAACCAACCAGCAGCAAGAACCUAUUGCCUAGUCACCUCCCCUCUCUUUCCCCAACUAUCAUUGAAAAAGUCUGGCUUCCAAAUUUUCCGGGAGACUGAUUUGGGUAAUAAUAAAACUCCAGUCUUCUGUUCAGCCAGCUCUGCAUGAAUUAAGCUCUUUCUCUAUUGCAAUUUUCCUGUCUUGAUAAAUUGUCUCUACCUGGGCAGGGGGCAAAAUGAACCCAUAGGGUGGUUACAGUACCUUGCUGGGUCACUUGAUAUUCCUGGAGGGUCACGGGAAGCGCUAUGUGAAUCCCACUUCUGAUAUUGUAAGAUUCUCUCCAGGGCCUGAAAGCUUAAGGGGUUGAGCAACUCCUCCCUUCUCAGGCCCAGCCCCAGGGCGCAAGGCCGCUUGCAUCAGCAGCGUGCGUGAGCAGAUGCGCCAGCAAGAUAGCAAAAGCAGGAAGAGAGCCAGCCGGAAGACAAGUACCUCUGAAGAUGGAGAAAGAGGCCAUCUGGGUACAACGUUGCAGUUACGUCAGACCAGGACACUUCCUGUUUACAGGAGACUAUAAAACCUUUGCCCCAUCCUCACUUGGGGCUGACGCCGUUUUAGGCCUCAGCCCGCCAGCACCCAGGCUCUCAUUAAAACAGCAUGUUGCUCCACA